CCUACGGGGCUGCAGUGGGGAAUAUUGGACAAUGGGCGAAAGCCUGAUCCAGCCAUGCCGCGUGUGUGAAGAAGGCCUUCGGGUUGUAAAGCACUUUCAGUGGGGAAGAAAGCCUUGGGGCUAAUACCCUCGAGGAAGGACAUCACCCACAGAAGAAGCACCGGCUAACUCCGUGCCAGCAGCCGCGGUAAUACGGAGGGUGCGAGCGUUAAUCGGAAUUACUGGGCGUAAAGCGCGCGUAGGCGGUCUGAUAAGCCGGUUGUGAAAGCCCCGGGCUCAACCUGGGAACGGCAUCCGGAACUGUCAGGCUAGAGUGCAGGAGAGGAAGGUAGAAUUCCCGGUGUAGCGGUGAAAUGCGUAGAGAUCGGGAGGAAUACCAGUGGCGAAGGCGGCCUUCUGGACUGACACUGACGCUGAGGUGCGAAAGCGUGGGUAGCAAACAGGAUUAGAUACCCUAGUAGUC
RNAcentral lists this ribosomal RNA (463 nucleotides) under Vreelandella stevensii. RNAcentral's name for it is "partial 16S ribosomal RNA". It matches the Rfam family "Bacterial small subunit ribosomal RNA", at positions 338 to 795 of the family's 1533-position model. The record is from RNAcentral. Lineage: Bacteria; Pseudomonadati; Pseudomonadota; Gammaproteobacteria; Oceanospirillales; Halomonadaceae.